RNAcentral lists this transfer RNA (59 nucleotides) under Cinnamomum bejolghota. RNAcentral's name for it is "partial tRNA-Phe". The record is from RNAcentral. Lineage: Eukaryota; Viridiplantae; Streptophyta; Magnoliopsida; Laurales; Lauraceae.
GUCGGGAUAGCUCAGCUGUAGAGCACAAGACUAAAAAUCCUCGUGUCACAGUUUCAAAU